Molecule: ribosomal RNA, 253 nt
Filed under: uncultured bacterium
Lineage: Bacteria
Description: partial 16S ribosomal RNA
Rfam family: Bacterial small subunit ribosomal RNA
Source: RNAcentral
UACGAAGGGGGCUAGCGUUGCUCGGAAUUACUGGGCGUAAAGGGCGCGUAGGCGGAUAGUUCAGUUGGGGGUGAAAGCCCGGAGCUCAACUCCGGAACUGCCAUUGAAACUGUUUAGCUUGAGGACGAGAGAGGUGAGUGGAAUUCCGAGUGUAGAGGUGAAAUUCGUAGAUAUUCGGAAGAACACCAGUGGCGAAGGCGGCUCACUGGACAUGUAUUGACGCUGAGGUGCGAAAGCGUGGGGAGCAAACAGG